RNAcentral lists this ribosomal RNA (875 nucleotides) under uncultured bacterium. Its description in RNAcentral is "bacterial SSU rRNA". It matches the Rfam family "Bacterial small subunit ribosomal RNA", at positions 51 to 908 of the family's 1533-position model. The record is from RNAcentral.
ACACAUGCAAGUCGAACGCGAAAGUCCUUCGGGAUGAGUAAAGUGGCGCACGGGUGAGUAACACGUAGGUGACCUGCCUUUUAGAGGGGAAUAACCAGAAGAAAUUUUGGCUAAUGCCGCAUACGAAGUACAAAUCUAAGAGUAGUACUUGAAAGGAUGCCUCUGCAUAUGCAUUCACUAAAAGAUGGGCCUGCGGUACAUUAGCUUGUUGGUGGGGUAAAGGCCUACCAAGGCAACGAUGUAUAUCCGGUCUGAGAGGAUGAUCGGACACACUGGAACUGAGACACGGUCCAGACUCCUACGGGAGGCAGCAGUGGGGAAUAUUGCGCAAUGGGGGAAACCCUGACGCAGCAACGCCGCGUGAGUGAGGAAGGACUUCGGUCUGUAAAGCUCUGUUAAUGUGGAAAAAUGGUAGCUGGUCUAAUAGGCCGGCUAUUUGAUGGUACACAUAGAGGAAGCACCGGCUAACUUCGUGCCAGCAGCCGCGGUAAUACGAAGGGUGCAAGCGUUGUUCGGAUUUAUUGGGCGUAAAGCGCGCGUAGGCGGACCUGUAAGUCAGAUGUGAAAUCUCGGGGCUCAACCUCGAAACUGCGUCUGAAACUGCAGGUCUAGAAUCUUGGAGGGGGAAGGGGAAUUUCGCAUGUAGGGGUAAAAUCCGUAGAUAUGCGAAGGAACACCAGAGGCGAAGGCGCCUUCCUGGACAAGUAUUGACGCUGAGGCGCGAAAGCGUGGGGAUCAAACAGGAUUAGAUACCCUGGUAGUCCACGCUGUAAACGAUGAAUACUAGGUAUUGGAGGAUUUGACCCCUACAGUGCCGUAGCUAACGCGUUAAGUAUUCCGCCUGGGANUACGGUCGCAGACUAAAACUCAAAGGA